AAACCCAUCCCACCAUAUAACCU
This 23-nucleotide non-coding RNA is filed under the name Arabidopsis thaliana (thale cress). The record is from RNAcentral. Lineage: Eukaryota; Viridiplantae; Streptophyta; Magnoliopsida; Brassicales; Brassicaceae.